ACGGGUGAGUAAUAUAUCGGAACGUACCCUGGAGUGGGGGAUAACGUAGCGAAAGUUGCGCUAAUACCGCAUACGAUCUAAGGAUGAAAGUGGGGGAUCGCAAGACCUCAUGCUCCUGGAGCGGCCGAUAUCUGAUUAGCUAGUUGGUGGGGUAAAGGCCUACCAAGGCAUCGAUCAGUAGCUGGUCUGAGAGGACGACCAGCCACACUGGAACUGAGACACGGUCCAGACUCCUACGGGAGGCAGCAGUGGGGAAUUUUGGACAAUGGGCGAAAGCCUGAUCCAGCAAUGCCGCGUGAGUGAAGAAGGCCUUCGGGUUGUAAAGCUCUUUUGUCAGGGAAGAAACGGUGAGGGCUAAUAUCUCUUGCUAAUGACGGUACCUGAAGAAUAAGCACCGGCUUACUACGUGCCAGCAGCCGCGGUAAUACGUAGGGUGCAAGCGUUAAUCGGAAUUACUGGGCGUAAAGCGUGCGCAGGCGGUUUUGUAAGUCUGUCGUGAAAUCCCCGGGCUCAACCUGGGAAUUGCGAUGGAGACUGCAAGGCUAGAAUCUGGCAGAGGGGGGUAGAAUUCCACGUGUAGCAGUGA
This 586-nucleotide ribosomal RNA is filed under the name uncultured Oxalobacteraceae bacterium. RNAcentral describes it as "bacterial SSU rRNA". It matches the Rfam family "Bacterial small subunit ribosomal RNA", at positions 102 to 684 of the family's 1533-position model. The record is from RNAcentral. Lineage: Bacteria; Pseudomonadati; Pseudomonadota; Betaproteobacteria; Burkholderiales; Oxalobacteraceae.